CCUACGGGGAGCAGCAGUGAGGAAUAUUGGUCAAUGGACGAGAGUCUGAACCAGCCAAGUAGCGUGAAGGAUGACUGCCCUAUGGGUUGUAAACUUCUUUUAUAAAGGAAUAAAACGAGGCACGUGUGCCGUUUUGCAUGUACUUUAUGAAUAAGGAGCGGCUAACUCCGUGCCAGCAGCCGCGGUAAUACGGAGGAUCCGAGCGUUAUCCGGAUUUAUUGGGUUUAAAGGGAGCGUAGAUGGGUUGUUAAGUCAGUUGUGAAAGUUUGCGGCUCAACCGUAAAAUUGCAAUUGAUACUGGCAGUCUUGAGUACAGUUGAGGUAGGCGGAAUUCGUGGUGUAGCGGUGAAAUGCUUAGAUAUCACGAAGAACCCCGAUUGCGAAGGCAGCUUACUAAACUGUGACUGACAUUGAUGCUCGAAAGUGUGGGUAUCAAACAGGAUUAGAUACCCUUGUAGUC
This 460-nucleotide ribosomal RNA is filed under the name uncultured bacterium. RNAcentral describes it as "partial 16S ribosomal RNA". It matches the Rfam family "Bacterial small subunit ribosomal RNA", at positions 338 to 795 of the family's 1533-position model. The record is from RNAcentral.